AAGUCGUAACAAGGUUUCCGUAGGUGAACCUGCGGAAGGAUCAUUAACGUGUUCUCCGACGGCGAGGGGCGCCCCGCUCCGGUUCCCGAAAGGGGCCGUGCAGCGGGCGCCCCGAACCGCUCGACCUUUGCAAACCCACCGUGCACCUUUGUCGGCGCGUAGGGGCCCUCGCGGCCCCGAGAGCCGGAUCACAAACACGAACGAAACCGAAUGUAUGCGGACGCAGUUCCGCCCAAACUUUGACAACUUUCAACAACGGAUCUCUUGGCUCUC
Molecule: unclassified non-coding RNA, 273 nt
Filed under: air metagenome
Description: partial contains small subunit ribosomal RNA, internal transcribed spacer 1, and 5.8S ribosomal RNA
Rfam family: Eukaryotic small subunit ribosomal RNA (bases 1-46)
Source: RNAcentral